Molecule: non-coding RNA, 21 nt
Organism: Caenorhabditis elegans
Lineage: Eukaryota; Metazoa; Nematoda; Chromadorea; Rhabditida; Rhabditidae
Source: Ensembl
UCAUCCCUCUCGUCAACAUAA